GCCAGGCGUGGUGGCGCAUGCCUGUAAUCCCAGCUACUCGGGGGGCUGAGGCAGAAGAAUUGCUUGAACCUGGGAGGCGGAGGUUGUGGUGAGCUGAGAUCACACCACUGCACUCCAGCCUGGGUAACAGAGCGAGACUCUGCCUCAA
This 148-nucleotide non-coding RNA is filed under the name Pan troglodytes (chimpanzee). Lineage: Eukaryota; Metazoa; Chordata; Mammalia; Primates; Hominidae. The record is from Rfam by way of RNAcentral.